GGAAAAUGACAGAAAGGUUAUUGACAUGUAAACGUUUUAAAAUACCUUCUCAACUAAAGAAGUAGAACUGGCUUAGCCUAUAUUGCAGGACAAUUAGAAUGCUGUGCUACAAGCCUUUGGGAAGGACCCUGUCACCUGCUGCCUGCUCCACAAGGCACACCCAGUGAGAAAGACCUUAUAUUGUGAUCCUGAGUACACCAACUGCUGCAAAGGUUGCCGGAAAGUGCCACUAGAUUCAUCACAUUCCUUUGAAGAGGACAGUUGCUGAUCCCACUGACCCAAAAAGAAAAAAAAGAUGAAGAUGAAUCAAAGAUUUGAUUCUCGGCUAAGACAAGUGGGGAAUGUAAAAGGCAGUAGCCUUGAAAUUCCCUUUUUAUGCAGUUGUUUGUUAAGUGCUUUUAGUAUGAGUUGCUUGUAGUAUGAGGUGGAAAAUUCCUUGCCCCUUCCCCCUUGAAUAAGCAGGACCUAAUCAGUGAAGGCCACCCAUUGUUCGAAGGACCCUGCCUGGGGACAAGCCUUAUCAGGACCUCAUCAGUGAAGGCCACCCAUUGUUCGAAGGACCCUACAUGGGGACAAGCCUUAUCAGGACCUUUGAACAGACUUUGUGGUGUGCUGUCUACCGGAUGGGUGGUCAUAGCCGAUGGCAGGAGGAUGUGCCUGGUUGAAUUCUAUUGGUUGUGUGAUCUUACUAUAUUUGAAACUAGCCCGCGCUUUGCUUUGAAUGGAUCAUGCUUUUGCUAAGUUUGAAAUGAUUGGAUCUUGUGUUUGCUAUAGCCUGUUAUUGGAUGUAGGUUGAUAAGGUGAUGUGCUCCCCCUCCCUGAGUGUAGUCUGAAUUCCUAUAAAUUGUAUGGUUUGAGCCCUGUUCGGGGUCGAGCUUGGUAGACUAACACCAGUUACCAUCUCGGCCCGGAUUGCAAUUCGUCAAUAAACAUCUUUGCUUCCUU
Molecule: long non-coding RNA, 945 nt
Organism: Erinaceus europaeus (western European hedgehog)
Lineage: Eukaryota; Metazoa; Chordata; Mammalia; Eulipotyphla; Erinaceidae
Exons: 2
Source: RefSeq, a predicted model, not a curated record